Acanthosepion pharaonis is the source of this 112-nucleotide non-coding RNA. The record is from the annotation of a GenBank genome assembly. NCBI's taxonomy places the organism in Eukaryota, Metazoa, Mollusca, Cephalopoda, Sepiida, Sepiidae.
ACAGCCACAUCACAUUGAAACAUGAGUUCCCGUUGGAUAACCAAAGUUAAGCAACGUCGAGCCUGGUCAGUACCUAGAUGGGUGUCCGCUUGGGAAUACGAGGUGCUGUAAU